GCUUGCUCUGGUUGAUCAGUGGCGAACGGGUGAGUAACACGUGAGUAACCUGCCCUUGACUCUGGGAUAACUCCGGGAAACCGGGGCUAAUACCGGAUACGAGACGCGACCGCAUGGUCGGCGUCUGGAAAGUUUUUCGGUCAAGGAUGGACUCGCGGCCUAUCAGCUUGUUGGUGAGGUAAUGGCUCACCAAGGCGUCGACGGGUAGCCGGCCUGAGAGGGCGACCGGCCACACUGGGACUGAGACACGGCCCAGACUCCUACGGGAGGCAGCAGUGGGGAAUAUUGCACAAUGGGCGAAAGCCUGAUGCAGCGACGCCGCGUGAGGGAUGAAGGCCUUCGGGUUGUAAACCUCUUUCAGUAGGGAAGAAGCGAAAGUGACGGUACCUGCAGAAGAAGCGCCGGCUAACUACGUGCCAGCAGCCGCGGUAAUACGUAGGGCGCAAGCGUUGUCCGGAAUUAUUGGGCGUAAAGAGCUCGUAGGCGGUUUGUCGCGUCUGGUGUGAAAACUCAAGGCUCAACCUUGAGCUUGCAUCGGGUACGGGCAGACUAGAGUGUGGUAGGGGUGACUGGAAUUCCUGGUGUAGCGGUGGAAUGCGCAGAUAUCAGGAGGAACACCGAUGGCGAAGGCAGGUCACUGGGCCACUACUGACGCUGAGGAGCGAAAGCAUGGGGAGCGAACAGGAUUAGAUACCCUGGUAGUCCAUGCCGUAAACGUUGGGCACUAGGUGUGGGGCUCAUUCCACGAGUUCCGCGCCGCAGCUAACGCA
This 770-nucleotide ribosomal RNA is filed under the name Sanguibacter inulinus. RNAcentral's name for it is "bacterial SSU rRNA". It matches the Rfam family "Bacterial small subunit ribosomal RNA", at positions 78 to 859 of the family's 1533-position model. The record is from RNAcentral. Lineage: Bacteria; Bacillati; Actinomycetota; Actinomycetes; Micrococcales; Sanguibacteraceae.